This 815-nucleotide long non-coding RNA is filed under the name Vulpes vulpes (red fox). Its description in RNAcentral is "lncRNA (ENSVVUG00000019428.1)". Lineage: Eukaryota; Metazoa; Chordata; Mammalia; Carnivora; Canidae. The record is from RNAcentral.
GGGGGCGGCUGCGCGACGUCCGUGGGGACCGGGUGCGGGCCGGGCCGGCUGGGUCCUCAGCUGCGCUCUCGGACGCCCGGAUUUCGGCUGUAACGCUGAGCCGAGAAGCAAGAGAUUAAACUUACCUGAUUGUAGGCUAUGGAAUACAAGAAGAAAAGAAUUCGACUUAACUUUCAGACGGCCAAGAAAUACCACCCAGAAUCUUCCUGGCAAUUGCUAGAUCCCAAAGUUUCACCAUCCAAUGAGGCACCCAUCUGUCCUGACAUGCUGGAUUAGAUUUAACUAACAUUGUCACAGCUGAAGCAAAAAAGAUCUCUUCCACGGCGGUGCUUUUUCACCGUGGUUCAACGCCCCUGUCUGUAGGAGGGAGGAAGAAAGGUAGAAUUUGUUUACAGAGAAGAAACUUUGGCUCUCAAUGACAUCAACAGGUAAGUAGGUGGCCAAGAAGUCUGUGCAAGUAACUGGAAGGAGAACUCCCUUUGUUUACCUAAUUCCUUGGCGUGAGUCAUGUGCAAACACUGUCCAUGUAGGCCCUGCGAGGUACGUCCCCAUCAGAUCACCUGGCUUCAUCCAGAUGAAUCCUAGGUAGGUCCACUGGGUUUCAAAGGAAGCUACAUACAGAUCACAGGGAAUGCCUCCUGUGGAUACUGAGGUAUUUCUAUGUAGGUCCUUACAUUAAGGACCAAAGUGGCAGAUGCUGUAGGAGGGUGGGGUAGCAUCUGGAGCCAGACCCCUUGCUUGAGGCGUGGCUGGUAUCAGCAGCUGGAGGAGGGGCAGGGGCAUGUUGCUUUACCCCUGGUGUCUCUAUUUUUCUC